RNAcentral lists this ribosomal RNA (253 nucleotides) under uncultured bacterium. RNAcentral describes it as "partial 16S ribosomal RNA". It matches the Rfam family "Bacterial small subunit ribosomal RNA", at positions 524 to 776 of the family's 1533-position model. The record is from RNAcentral.
UACGUAGGGUGCAAGCGUUGUCCGGAAUUAUUGGGCGUAAAGGGCGCGUAGGCGGCCGUGCAAGUGGAAGGUGAAAUCCCUCGGCUCAACCGAGGAACUGCCUUUCAAACUGCAUGGCUUGAGUCCGGGAGAGGUGAGUGGAAUUCCCAGUGUAGCGGUGAAAUGCGUAGAUAUUGGGAGGAACACCAGUGGCGAAGGCGGCUCACUGGACCGGAACUGACGCUGAGGCGCGAAAGCGUGGGGAGCAAACGGG